RNAcentral lists this long non-coding RNA (1493 nucleotides) under Cyanistes caeruleus (blue tit). RNAcentral's name for it is "lncRNA (ENSCCEG00000005289.1)". Lineage: Eukaryota; Metazoa; Chordata; Aves; Passeriformes; Paridae. The record is from RNAcentral.
UUUUUUUUCCUGUGAAUUUUUAUUUCUGGGAUUUUUUUUCUGGGAAUCUUUCCAGGAAUUUUUUUUCCAGAUUUUUUUUCCCAUUUUUUCCCCCAUUUUUUUUCCUUUUCCAGGCAUUUUUUCCCAGGAAUUUUUCCCAUUUUUCCCCCAUUUCCUUUCCCCCCCAAAUUUUUUAUUUUAUUUUUUUUUUCCUUUUCCAGGCAUUUUUUUUUCUGGGAAUUUUUUCUCCGGGAUUUUUUUUUAUACACAAUUUUCCUCCACCCUGUUUCCUUUUCUUCCAAGAAUUCCACGUUUUUCCCGAGAAUUCCUCCUUUUUUCCUGGGAAUUCCAUGUUUUUUCCUAGGAAUUUCAGUUUUUUCCUGGGAAUUUUGUGGUUUUUUCCAAAAAUUCCACAUUUUUCCCAAAAAUUCUGCGUCUUUUCCUGAGAAAUCUGAGUUUUUCCUGGGAAUUCAAUGAUUUUUCCCAAAAAUUCCACAUUUUCCCAAAAAUUCCACAUUUUUUCCCAAAAAUUCCACAUUUUUCCCAAAAAUUCCACAUUUUUCCCAAAAUUUCCCAAAAAUUCCACAUUUUCCCAAAAAUUCCACAUUUUUUCCCAAAAAUUCCACAUUUUUCCCAAAAAUUCCACAUUUUUCCCAAAAAUUCCACAUUUUUCCCCCAAAAUUCCACAUUUUUUCCCAAAAAUUCCACAUUUUCCCCAAAAAUUCCACAUUUUUCCCCCAAAAUUCCACAUUUUCUCCCAAGAAUUCCAUGUUUUUCCUGGGAACUCUGUAUUUUUUCCUGGGAAUUCCAUGGUUUUUCCCAAGAAUUCCAUAUUUUUUCCUGGGAAUUUCAGGUUUUUUACCAAAAAUUCCACGAUUUUCCCAAAAAUUCUGCGUCUUUUCCUGAGAAAUCCGAGUUUUCCCUGGGAAUUCAAUGGUUUUCCCAAAAAAUUCUGCAUUUUUUCCCAAAAAUUCCACAUUUUCUCCCAAAAAUUCCACAUUUUUUCCCAAAAAAUUCCACAUUUUCCCCAAGAAUUCCACAUUUUUCCCAAAAAUUCCACAUUUUUCCCCAAGAAUUCCAUGUUUUUCCUGGGAACUCCGUAUUUUUUCCUGGGAAUUCCAUGGUUUUUCCCAAGAAUUCCACAUUUUUCCCCGGUAUUUCGCAUUUUUUUCCCAAAAAUUCCUCAUUUUUUUCCAGGAAUUUUGAGUUUUUUCCCCAAAAUUUUCUGUUUUUCCCAAGAAUUCCACAUUUUUUCCCCAAGAAUUCCACAUUUUUUCCAAGGAUUUUUGCAUUUUUUCCCGAAAUUUUCUCUUUUUCCCAAAAAUUCCACAUUUUCUCCCAAAAAUUCCACAUUUUCCCCAGGAAUUCUCUCUUUUCCCCAGGAAUUCUCUCUUUUUCCCAAAAAUUCCACAUUUUCUCCCAAAAAUUCCACAUUUUUCCCCAGGAAUUCUCUCUUUUUCCCCAGGAAUUCUCUGUUUUUCCCAGGAAUUCUCUGUUUUUUCCCAGAAAUUCCA